Molecule: long non-coding RNA, 899 nt
Filed under: Mytilus galloprovincialis (Mediterranean mussel)
Lineage: Eukaryota; Metazoa; Mollusca; Bivalvia; Mytilida; Mytilidae
Source: RNAcentral
UUGGGGCAAAAAUGAACACAAUGUUCACAGCUUGAUACAGGUCUGAAUUUGGAAUGUGAUUAAAUAUUUGACACAUUGUCCCCCAAAAAAAAUUCUUUUCCCUCAAGAUACAGUCAUCAUUUCAAUUCUAAUUUCUAAUGGAAAUGCAACAAUAAUUACCCUAUAUUUAAAUACAUCAUAAAAGUCUUAAAAUAGAAAAAAUAUUCCUUAAUCAGUAUAAAUUUAUAAGUUAAUUGACAGCUAAUCACCUUAAGUCAAUACAACAUUCUUUUGUACAUAAUUUUUAAAGCAGUUUAAGGGAGAUAAUUCAUAAAUAUGUUUGGAUUACCUUAAUAUAUUUGGAUUACCUCCCUCACACUACUUUAAAGUUGUUUUUAAUAAUUGUACAUUGACCAAGAAACCCUUGUUUUACGUCUUUUUCUGCCCCUAAUUCCUAAACGGUUGGAGCCAUAACCCCUCCAAAGCCAAUCUAAACCAUCCCUUUGUGGUAUGGAAACUUGUGGUACAAUUUCAGAGAGAUCCAUACACUUAAACACAAGUUAUUGUCUGGAAACUAGAAAAAUGCCUUUUUGGGCCUCUUUUUGACCACUAAUUCCUAAACUGGUAGGACCAGAACCCCAAAAAUCAAUCCCAACCUUCCUUUUGUGAUUUUAAACCUUGUAUUUAAAUUUCCUAGACAUCUACUUACUUAAACUAAAGUUAUUGUCCGGAAACCAACAGUCUUCAGAACAACGACAACAACAUAAUACCAAUAUACGACCACAUUUUUUUUUCUCAGUCAAAUAAAACCAAGAGACAAAUAACAGUACACAAAACACAAAGUACUCAUCAACAGUAUGUUGCUAAUUUCAAUAUGAAUAUAUAAUCAUUAAAAUAAGUCAAUUUUGGCCUUAAAAAAU